CCAAUCAUUCUACAAUAUCUUCUCCAAGGAAUUAUUUCCCUCUCGCUCGCUCCUUCAACGUAGUGCUUAUUGCAAUCAAAUUAAACAAGCAGUACUUGUUACUAAUCUCGCCUUCACUUAUUCUAACAAAUAAACAUGACCGACACUCCUAAGCAAAUUACCAUUGCCAUACUGUUGCAAACAAAAAUAAAAAUUUUUUUUCUUUUUAAUUACCUGCUG
This 219-nucleotide long non-coding RNA is filed under the name Citrus sinensis (sweet orange). RNAcentral describes it as "long non-coding RNA (CSIN_LNC005581)". The record is from RNAcentral. Lineage: Eukaryota; Viridiplantae; Streptophyta; Magnoliopsida; Sapindales; Rutaceae.